UAGCUCGCACAAAGACUUUCUUUUUAGUUGAUCUGGAUCCUUUCUUCAAAUCUCUAAAACCUUUCCAAAGAUUGAAGAUGGACUUCUAGAGGAGAUGAAGAGGUAGAAGAAAAAUGGAGAAGAAAAUAAUUUUUUUUUAAUUUAUUGUCUCUUCUCAAACUUUUAGAACCAAAAAUCUAAAAUUCAAGUUUUUUCACACACCCCA
Molecule: long non-coding RNA, 205 nt
Filed under: Elaeis guineensis (African oil palm)
Lineage: Eukaryota; Viridiplantae; Streptophyta; Magnoliopsida; Arecales; Arecaceae
Description: long non-coding RNA (EGUI_LNC068399)
Source: RNAcentral